UGACCGAUAGUGAACCAGUACCGUGAGGGAAAGGUGAAAAGCACCCCGGAAGGGGAGUGAAAUAGAACCUGAAACCGUGUGCUUACAAGUAGUCAGAGCCCGUUAAUGGGUGAUGGCGUGCCUUUUGUAGAAUGAACCGGCGAGUUACGAUUUGAUGCAAGGUUAAGCAGUAAAUGUGGAGCCGUAGCGAAAGCGAGUCUGAAUAGGGCGUUUAGUAUUUGGUCGUAGACCCGAAACCAGGUGAUCUACCCUUGGUCAGGUUGAAGUUCAGGUAACACUGAAUGGAGGACCGAACCGACUUACGUUGAAAAGUGAGCGGAUGAACUGAGGGUAGCGGAGAAAUUCCAAUCGAACCUGGAGAUAGCUGGUUCUCUCCGAAAUAGCUUUAGGGCUAGCCUCAAGUGAUGAUUAUUGGAGGUAGAGCACUGUUUGGACGAGGGGCCCCUCUCGGGUUACCGAAUUCAGACAAACUCCGAAUGCCAAUUAAUUUAACUUGGGAGUCAGAACAUGGGUGAUAAGGUCCGUGUUCGAAAGGGAAACAGCCCAGACCACCAGCUAAGGUCCCAAAAUAUAUGUUAAGUGGAAAAGGAUGUGGCGUUGCCCAGACAACUAGGAUGUUGGCUUAGAAGCAGCCAUCAUUUAAAGAGUGCGUAAUAGCUCACUAGUCGAGUGACACUGCGCCGAAAAUGUACCGGGGCUAAACAUAUUACCGAAGCUGUGGAUUGUCCUUUGGACAAUGGUAGGAGAGCGUUCUAAGGGCGUUGAAGCAUGAUCGUAAGGACAUGUGGAGCGCUUAGAAGUGAGAAUGCCGGUGUGAGUAGCGAAAGACGGGUGAGAAUCCCGUCCACCGAUUGACUAAGGUUUCCAGAGGAAGGCUCGUCCGCUCUGGGUUAGUCGGGUCCUAAGCUGAGGCCGACAGGCGUAGGCGAUGGAUAACAGGUUGAUAUUCCUGUACCACCUAUAAUCGUUUUAAUCGAUGGGGGGACGCAGUAGGAUAGGCGAAGCGUGCGAUUGGAUUGCACGUCUAAGCAGUAAGGCUGAGUAUUAGGCAAAUCCGGUACUCGUUAAGGCUGAGCUGUGAUGGGGAGAAGACAUUGUGUCUUCGAGUCGUUGAUUUCACACUGCCGAGAAAAGCCUCUAGAUAGAAAAUAGGUGCCCGUACCGCAAACCGACACAGGUAGUCAAGAUGAGAAUUCUAAGGUGAGCGAGCGAACUCUCGUUAAGGAACUCGGCAAAAUGACCCCGUAACUUCGGGAGAAGGGGUGCUCUUUAGGGUUAACGCCCAGAAGAGCCGCAGUGAAUAGGCCCAAGCGACUGUUUAUCAAAAACACAGGUCUCUGCUAAACCGUAAGGUGAUGUAUAGGGGCUGACGCCUGCCCGGUGCUGGAAGGUUAAGAGGAGUGGUUAGCUUCUGCGAAGCUACGAAUCGAAGCCCCAGUAAACGGCGGCCGUAACUAUAACGGUCCUAAGGUAGCGAAAUUCCUUGUCGGGUAAGUUCCGACCCGCACGAAAGGCGUAACGAUUUGGGCACUGUCUCAACGAGAGACUCGGUGAAAUCAUAGUACCUGUGAAGAUGCAGGUUACCCGCGACAGGACGGAAAGACCCCGUGGAGCUUUACUGUAGCCUGAUAUUGAAAUUCGGCACAGCUUGUACAGGAUAGGUAGGAGCCUUUGAAACGUGAGCGCUAGCUUACGUGGAGGCGCUGGUGGGAUACUACCCUAGCUGUGUUGGCUUUCUAACCCGCACCACUUAUCGUGGUGGGAGACAGUGUCAGGCGGGCAGUUUGACUGGGGCGGUCGCCUCCUAAAAGGUAACGGAGGCGCUCAAAGGUUCCCUCAGAAUGGUUGGAAAUCAUUCAUAGAGUGUAAAGGCAUAAGGGAGCUUGACUGCGAGACCUACAAGUCGAGCAGGGUCGAAAGACGGACUUAGUGAUCCGGUGGUUCCGCAUGGAAGGGCCAUCGCUCAACGGAUAAAAGCUACCCCGGGGAUAACAGGCUUAUCUCCCCCAAGAGUUCACAUCGACGGGGAGGUUUGGCACCUCGAUGUCGGCUCAUCGCAUCCUGGGGCUGUAGUCGGUCCCAAGGGUUGGGCUGUUCGCCCAUUAAAGCGGUACGCGAGCUGGGUUCAGAACGUCGUGAGACAGUUCGGUCCCUAUCCGUCGUGGGCGUAGGAAAUUUGAGAGGAGCUGUCCUUAGUACGAGAGGACCGGGAUGGACAUACCUCUGGUGUACCAGUUGUCGUGCCAACGGCAUAGCUGGGUAGCUAUGUGUGGACGGGAUAAGUGCUGAAAGCAUCUAAGCAUGAAGCCCCCCUCAAGAUGAGAUUUCCCAACUUCGGUUAUAAGAUCCCUCAAAGAUGAUGAGGUUAAUAGGUUCGAGGUGGAAGCAUGGUGACAUGUGGAGCUGACGAAUACUAAUCGAUCGAAGACUUAAUCAA
Molecule: ribosomal RNA, 2437 nt
Filed under: Staphylococcus aureus M1365
Lineage: Bacteria; Bacillati; Bacillota; Bacilli; Caryophanales; Staphylococcaceae
Description: bacterial LSU rRNA
Rfam family: Bacterial large subunit ribosomal RNA
Source: RNAcentral